UUUCAAUCACAUCGGUCACGGGUUUGAGCCCUAUACCAAGCAAAUUAAGCCUAGUAUUUAAGUGGAGAAAGAUAAAACAAUGGAUCUAGGUUUAUAUUGGAUAAUCGGGAGUUCCGGAUCAUCCCAAAGUUCUGAAAAUUACGAUUAGGAUUGGUUCUUUCAAGUGCUGAUGAUAGAUUCUUGAGCUAUGAUGAGAUGGAGAUAGUGGAAGUAGUUUCUGAUCAGGUGUCUGUGGUUUUGUCCC
RNAcentral lists this long non-coding RNA (244 nucleotides) under Solanum tuberosum (potato). RNAcentral describes it as "long non-coding RNA (STUB_LNC010496)". Lineage: Eukaryota; Viridiplantae; Streptophyta; Magnoliopsida; Solanales; Solanaceae. The record is from RNAcentral.